ACUCAAAGGAAUAGACGGGGGCCCGCACAAGCGGUGGAGCAUGUGGAUUAAUUCGAUGCAACGCGAAGAACCUUACCUAGGCUUGACAUGGAGUCGCAACACUUAGAGAUGAGUGCCUCACUUCGGUGACGGCUCACACAGGUGGUGCAUGGUUGUCGUCAGCUCGUGUCGUGAGAUGUUGGGUUAAGUCCCGCAACGAGCGCAACCCUUAUCUUUAGUUCCCAGCGGGUGAUGCCGGGUACGCUAGAGAGACUGCCGUGGAUAACACGGAGGAAGGUGGGGAUGAUGUCAAAUCAUCAUGCCCCUUACGUCUAGGGCUUCACACGUGCUACAAUGGUCUCUACAAAGUGAAACAAAGCUGUGAAGUGGAGUGAACCACGAAAAGAGACCUCAGUUCGGAUUGCAGGCUGCAACUCGCCUGCAUGAAGUUGGAAUCGCUAGUAAUCGCGAAUCAGCAUGUCGCGGUGAAUACGUUCCCGGGCCUUGUACACACCGCCCGU
This 500-nucleotide ribosomal RNA is filed under the name uncultured bacterium. Its description in RNAcentral is "bacterial SSU rRNA". It matches the Rfam family "Bacterial small subunit ribosomal RNA", at positions 899 to 1397 of the family's 1533-position model. The record is from RNAcentral.